Long non-coding RNA from Malus domestica (apple), 681 nucleotides. RefSeq lists it as uncharacterized. The record is from RefSeq and is a predicted model, not a curated record. Lineage: Eukaryota; Viridiplantae; Streptophyta; Magnoliopsida; Rosales; Rosaceae.
CUCAUCUCUCCCCCUCACAUACUCUCUCUCUGUACCUUUUCUUUCCCCAAGCAGCACACCCACACGCACCAACCCUCUUUCUCUCUCUCUCUCUCUCUCUCUCUCUCUCUCUCUCUCUCUCUCUCUUUCUGAUCUCCCUCGCCUAUUUUGGACGUCUUCACCUCUCUCGUCCCUUUUCCUCCUCUGCAAGUGCAGACACCGAGACCUCUAUCACCACCACCGUAGGUCGACAAAACUGGCGAGUUCCACCUUUUUCACAUUAGGAGAGCCUCAGAGUCACCUUCUCUGUCUCAAAUGAUUGUUCCUUCGAUUUCUAAGUUAUAUACUCGUUUUUAGUGAAGGUUUGGCUUGAAAACACCUCUGGGAGACUUUCCCAGAUUCCGACGAGGAAUGCCGUGACUUCCAGGCCAUUUUUCGACCACGGCUGGACCAAACAUUGGUGCGUUUGUUAGUGACGUUCCCGUCCUCUCUUGUUUGCACAGCUCUUCGACAACGGAGUAAGACUUAGAAUUGGGGCGUACAAUCUCGAUGUCAAGGCACUCCCGCAUCGGUAGCUUCAAGUCAUCUCGGUGUAGGACCCAUUCUUUUGUUCGUACAUUUGUAUAUUAUUCUUUCUUCAAUGUUCUGGUUUAGUUGUAUGCUCUGAACACGUUCCACAAUUGCAUAUUCAUUACAGUUAAA